AGACCCGAAACCCGGUGAUCUAGCCAUGGGCAGGUUGAAGGUUGGGUAACACUAACUGGAGGACCGAACCGACUAAUGUUGAAAAAUUAGCGGAUGACCUGUGGCUGGGGGUGAAAGGCCAAUCAAACCGGGAGAUAGCUGGUUCUCCCCGAAAGCUAUUUAGGUAGCGCCUCGUGAAUUCAUCUCCGGGGGUAGAGCACUGUUUCGGCUAGGGGGCCAUCCCGGCUUACCAACCCGAUGCAAACUGCGAAUACCGGAGAAUGUUAUCACGGGAG
Molecule: ribosomal RNA, 275 nt
Filed under: Salmonella enterica subsp. enterica serovar Derby
Lineage: Bacteria; Pseudomonadati; Pseudomonadota; Gammaproteobacteria; Enterobacterales; Enterobacteriaceae
Also listed under: 2 other names
Description: partial 23S ribosomal RNA
Rfam family: Bacterial large subunit ribosomal RNA
Source: RNAcentral